CUCGUAGGCGGCCAACUAAGUCAGACGUGAAAUCCCUCGGCUUAACCGGGGAACUGCAUCUGAUACUGGAUGGCUUGAGAUUGGGAGGAGGGAUGCGGAAUUCCAGGUGUAGCGGUGAAAUGCGUAGAUAUCUGGAGGAACACCGGUGGCGAAGGCGGCAUCCUGGACCAACACUGACGCUGAGGAGCGAAAGCCAGGGAGCGAAC
This 206-nucleotide ribosomal RNA is filed under the name uncultured bacterium. RNAcentral describes it as "partial 16S ribosomal RNA". It matches the Rfam family "Bacterial small subunit ribosomal RNA", at positions 568 to 773 of the family's 1533-position model. The record is from RNAcentral.